Phoenix dactylifera (date palm) is the source of this 105-nucleotide non-coding RNA. The record is from RefSeq and is a predicted model, not a curated record. Lineage: Eukaryota; Viridiplantae; Streptophyta; Magnoliopsida; Arecales; Arecaceae.
AUAUACACACACACACACACAUUCGAUAAAAUUGGAACGAUAUAGAGAAGAUUAGCAUGGGCCCUGCGCAUAUGAUACAUAAAUCGAGAAAUGGUCCAAAUUUUU